CAAGUUACUGCCACCCAGCAACACAGCGUUUUCUUAAGUCAGGCAGCCAUCUCUGGCAAGAAAGCCACUGGAGAAAACGAAAUCGCCUGCUUGAGACAGAACCUACUUGGCGUGUUACUGAGAUUUUCAAGGAGACAUUUUACUGGGAUUUUACAAGAGGCAUGUAAGGAACUCCUACCACAUGAGCCCCAGAGAGAGACCCUGUCCAGCAAAGCACACAGGUAUGCCUGUACUAAGGAAUAGGGCAGACUGAUCCUGGUUAAACAAUCCCAUGACCGCUGUGCUGAGGUUCUGGGCUGCAACUCACAC
Mastomys coucha (southern multimammate mouse) is the source of this 309-nucleotide long non-coding RNA. RefSeq lists it as uncharacterized. The transcript is spliced from 2 exons. The record is from RefSeq and is a predicted model, not a curated record. Lineage: Eukaryota; Metazoa; Chordata; Mammalia; Rodentia; Muridae.